GGAAAGGCGCGCGAUACAGGGUGACAGCCCCGUACACAAAAAUGCACAUGCUGUGAGCUCGAUGAGUAGGGCGGGACACGUGGUAUCCUGUCUGAAUAUGGGGGGACCAUCCUCCAAGGCUAAAUACUCCUGACUGACCGAUAGUGAACCAGUACCGUGAGGGAAAGGCGAAAAGAACCCCGGCGAGGGGAGUGAAAAAGAACCUGAAACCGUGUACGUACAAGCAGUGGGAGCACGCUUAGGCGUGUGACUGCGUACCUUUUGUAUAAUGGGUCAGCGACUUAUAUUCUGUAGCAAGGUUAACCGAAUAGGGGAGCCGAAGGGAAACCGAGUCUUAACUGGGCGUUAAGUUGCAGGGUAUAGACCCGAAACCCGGUGAUCUAGCCAUGGGCAGGUUGAAGGUUGGGUAACACUAACUGGAGGACCGAACCGACUAAUGUUGAAAAAUUAGCGGAUGACUUGUGGCUGGGGGUGAAAGGCCAAUCAAACCGGGAGAUAGCUGGUUCUCCCCGAAAGCUAUUUAGGUAGCGCCUCGUGAAUUCAUCUCCGGGGGUAGAGCACUGUUUCGGCAAGGGGGUCAUCCCGACUUACCAACCCGAUGCAAACUGCGAAUACCGGAGAAUGUUAUCACGGGAGACACACGGCGGGUGCUAACGUCCGUCGUGAAGAGGGAAACAACCCAGACCGCCAGCUAAGGUCCCAAAGUCAUGGUUAAGU
This 717-nucleotide ribosomal RNA is filed under the name Escherichia coli. RNAcentral's name for it is "partial 23S ribosomal RNA". It matches the Rfam family "Bacterial large subunit ribosomal RNA", at positions 344 to 1064 of the family's 2925-position model. The record is from RNAcentral. Lineage: Bacteria; Pseudomonadati; Pseudomonadota; Gammaproteobacteria; Enterobacterales; Enterobacteriaceae.